This 403-nucleotide ribosomal RNA is filed under the name uncultured bacterium. Its description in RNAcentral is "bacterial SSU rRNA". It matches the Rfam family "Bacterial small subunit ribosomal RNA", at positions 975 to 1375 of the family's 1533-position model. The record is from RNAcentral.
CAAGGCUUGACAUCGUCUGAUGACUCUAGAGAUAGAGAGUUCUUCUUCGGAAGACAGAUAGACAGGUGGUGCAUGGCUGUCGUCAGCUCGUGUCGUGAGAUGUUGGGUUAAGUCCCGCAACGAGCGCAACCCUUAUCCUAUGUUGCCAGCACGUAAUGGUGGGAACUCAUGGGAGACUGCCGUGGAUAACACGGAGGAAGGCGGGGAUGACGUCAAAUCAUCAUGCCCCUUAUGAUCUGGGCUACACACGUGCUACAAUGGUGACUACAAAGGGAAGCAGCCUCGUGAGAGUGAGCAAAUCCCAAAAAGGUCAUCUCAGUUCGGAUUGUAGUCUGCAACUCGACUACAUGAAGCUGGAAUCGCUAGUAAUCGCGAAUCAGAAUGUCGCGGUGAAUACGUUCCC